UACGUAGGGUGCGAGCGUUGUCCGGAAUCAUUGGGCGUAAAGAGCUUGUAGGCGGUUUGUCGCGUCUGCUGUGAAAAUCCGGGGCUCAACCCCGGACUUGCAGUGGGUACGGGCAGACUAGAGUGUGGUAGGGGAGACUGGAAUUCCUGGUGUAGCGGUGAAAUGCGCAGAUAUCAGGAGGAACACCGAUGGCGAAGGCAGGUCUCUGGGCCACUACUGACGCUGAGAAGCGAAAGCAUGGGGAGCGAACAGG
This 253-nucleotide ribosomal RNA is filed under the name uncultured bacterium. RNAcentral's name for it is "partial 16S ribosomal RNA". It matches the Rfam family "Bacterial small subunit ribosomal RNA", at positions 524 to 776 of the family's 1533-position model. The record is from RNAcentral.